Molecule: ribosomal RNA, 292 nt
Filed under: uncultured bacterium
Lineage: Bacteria
Description: partial 16S ribosomal RNA
Source: RNAcentral
GGACUACAAGGGUAUCUAAUCCUGUUUGCUCCCCACGCUUUCGUGCCUCAGCGUCAGUGCUGGUCCAGAUGGCCGCCUUCGCCACGGGUGUUCCUCCCGAUCUCUACGCAUUUCACCGCUACACCGGGAAUUCCACCAUCCUCUACCGCACUCUAGCUCGCCAGUAUCCACUGCAAUUCCCAGGUUGAGCCCAGGGCUUUCACAACGGACUUAACAAACCGCCUACGCACGCUUUACGCCCAGUAAUUCCGAGUAACGCUUGCACCCUUCGUAUUACCGCGGCUGCUGGCAC